This is a long non-coding RNA of Zea mays, 6769 nucleotides long. RefSeq lists it as uncharacterized. The transcript is spliced from 3 exons. NCBI's taxonomy places the organism in Eukaryota, Viridiplantae, Streptophyta, Magnoliopsida, Poales, Poaceae. The record is from RefSeq and is a predicted model, not a curated record.
CACCCGUGUUUCAUUUCCUCCUUUGCCACACCUUGCCCUGCUACAAAGUGUACCACUCAGGAAAAUCACGGUAAAGGAUGCCCCGAGCCUCUUCGUGUAGCCUAUUUGCCUCAAAAUAUGCCGUAAGCAUUGACCUAUCGGCACCUGGACGUUGGACAACAUGAUUUACUUUAGCACGCUCGUGAAAUGACACCAUAUGCAUGUUUUCAAGAUGGAGCUGCAGUUGCAUCACUGGUGGAGAGUUUUGACUUAGAUCAAAGCUGAAUAUCCUCCAAAGGGCUUCUGGAGGGGUCACCCACCUAGCAUCUCUAUACUGCUUGAUCUCAUCAACGUCACCAUCAGCCUUGUUUGCGUCUGUCACAGCCACAGACGCACGAUCGUGGCCUUUGUAUAUGUAUUUGAACAAGUAUUUGACAGCCUUGAUGCUCCCGCACGCCUCAACAUUGAUGUGACAGUUGAAGAGCCGGAGGAGGUAAGGGUUGUAAGGGACGACCCAUCUGUUGUCCAAUUCACAACCUCGAACCGUUUCCUUACGCCCAUCAUCACGACGCCUAUAAAUAGGAUAUGAAUCCUUUCCUUGAGACGUUGCAUUGCUAAAAGCUCUAGGAUAAUGGUUUUUGCAUGAAGCACAACCCUUAGUGCAUGGGCAUUUAGGAUUUAGCAACCCGCACGGUCCAUGCAUCAUAUGCUUGAUAACCAUCUUGUAUAGUUCAGGGUACUUCUUCUUGUCAGGGAUCUCAGCGGAGAUAAGGUGAUCAUACUGAUCAGGACAAGUUAGCUUGUACUUUCUCUGCAUGAUGAGUAGGAAAUGGACAUGAGGCAAACCUCGCUUCUGGAACUCCACGACAUAGACAUAAGCUCGGAUUUUUCCAAGAAUAUGAUGCUUAGUCAAUCUCUUCUUCAGUUCCUCUAGUUUUGCAUGGAAUAUGCGAACAACAAGGUCCGGACGAUCCUGUGGUGACUGCAUAGGGAGAAGCUCUCUGGUUAUUUCAUCCCAAUUGGGGUUGCACGUCAUAGUGAGGAAUAUGUCUGGCUUCCCAAACUUCCGCACAAGGGCCAUAUCAUCCAUAUACUGACGUCUCAUGUCACGAGGACCACCGAUAAAUGAUGUAGACAGCACGGUUCGCUUUCCAAUUUUGUCUGCUCUGUUCUCGCCUUCAUGCAAGCUAUCUACCAAACCCUUGUAUAGAUCCGCCCUUAAUCUGUCUUGGUUUUUACGUAUGAAAUCCAAACGAGAGCUCUCAAUCUUGAUGUAGGUGUCAACCGCGAACUGUUGGAAAAGCCGCUUCCCAUGAAGUAUUGGAAUGAAUAUACUUGGACGAAUUUGGAAUCUGUAGCAGUAAUAGUCACGUACAGACACGCAUAGAUGGCUAGGUCGUUCUGCAACCGCAAGGUUUAUUAAUUAGUGUUGCUAAAACAUAUUUAACAAAGGAUUAUAUAAGAAUCACAAAGAAAGAACUAACCUGUAUCAUCAUUGUUUGCAUCACUUCUCCUAUGUUGAUCGCGGUACGCGUCUACUUCGUCCAUGGAAACAUUGGACUUAGGAAUAUUGGCAUGCCAUCCAAGUUCACCUUUAGGGAAGAACAAUGGAUAUGGUAGUGCAUCAUAGCAUCCAUGAUAUGAAUGGAUGUCGUGGCUUGACCUAUCCUUCCCAUGUAGCAUAACACUAUUACUGAAUUGACCUCGACGUUCACUCCCCUCAAUCCAAAUUGCAGCUACCUCCGAAGUAAUGGGUGAAUUAUAUAACUUCUGGUUCAGCGUUUGAUCAAGGUUCAAGGCGAUGUGGUAGUCUUUAAUGUUAUCAACGUGCCCCAUACUCCUAAGGUGCUCAGAGUAUGGAUUUCCCUUAAGUAUUUCAACCAAUUGUUUAAUAACUGCCUUGUCUUUCUCAAAUUGUUGUUGACGACAUUUACGAUAUCUAUGCUCGAGGCUGGGAUCAUCAUCGUAGAAGUAGAGUUCAAGGUGUUUAUGUUCCGCCCCAACUUCCCUACCGAACGACCUUACGUUGUGGUACAUCAUGCCAUGUGCACGAAACGUAUAGAUACCACAAUCCAUGUUUGUAGUCAUACUGUCAAGACAACAGUACAGAGAAGUAAACGAGAAAUGGCCGUUAAAAAAUCGAAUGUUAUCACGAAAGUGCCUCGCAUCAGCAUCUGCAGACUCCCACAGCCUCCUAAGCUGGAGCGGUGUCUCGAAUGCGGCUAAAUUAAUCUGUCCAUUACGACAACAAAAUCCAGGUGGUUCAUACUGAAACUUCUUCGCUUUGCAGUAAUCGUAGUCAGCAACAGUGCUCAGCAAAUGUGUUUCUUCAGGUAUGUUACUAUACACCUUGUCGUACAAGUCAGGUACGUCAGGGUUGACAGUAAAGGCAUCUUGGGUUUCAUCAAUCUCAAUAUCCUCACCAGAUUCACCAUCUAAAUUUGUUUUGAAAGAACAAAGGAUAAGACAUACAACUUUAGAAACUUUUAAAUCAUAUAUCCUAUAUUAAAAACAUUACGUAAGUACCUUGCCCAGCGAAUAGGUAUCCUUCUUCGUCAUCAUCAUCUUCUUUAAAAAGUACAGUCUCAUCAGCAUCCUCUGUAAAGAGCACACCUUAAUCAUAUUAACCACUAAGAAUAAUUAGGGAACUAAUGAUGGAAUGAGCUUGUAAUUACCAUUGAUGGUAAUAGUCGAAGAUGUCAAGUGCUGCUUCCCAACGUCUACUCCUUCGGUCAUUUUGUCACUAUUUGUGGCAGGGACUGUACACGGAUGUCUUUGUCGUCUAGGAGACUUUGUCAGUUUCUUUGUCUCAACAUCCUCAGUCACCGAUGGAGUAGGAACAAAUGGUGUUGGGAUCAAUUCAGGAAUAGCUAUGAGCUCGGAGCUAAAUAGAGACCCAGUAGGUGCUUGAGCAUCUGUUGAACUCCACACAAGCUCCGGGGUAAAAGUAGGGUUCUCAAUGGCGAUUGAGUCCUGACUUAGCAUAACUUGUUGUCUUAUUCUAUAGUUUUCCCUUGCUCUCUUUUGACAUGGUUUCAUAUUACGCAACGUCCUUUGUUCCUUAGUUUGAGUUGCACAUCGAGCUCUUUCUCGGAUUCUCUUAUGUUCCUUUGGAUCUAACACUUUUGAAUACUCAUGGUGUACAACAUUUUCUUUGUUGCGUGACGCACGACGUUUCUUCAAUUCAUUUUUUGUUUCAUCACUCAUCGCCGCGUAUCGUGCUCUUUCCUUUUCCCGUUUACAUUGCCUUGCAUCCGCACAUCCUACUAAACCAUUAUAGGUUUUAUUUUUUAAAACCUUAUUGAAAUGUCAAAUAAGGCAUCUUAUAAUAUUAGUAGAUAUACCUUCAACAGUGAUGUUGGACAGUUCUUUUAAUGGAGAACGAACAUCAUUAGUUUGGAGCGGAUCCAUCUACGUAUUUCAGGCAGCCACAAAACCUAUAUGAGAGGAUGAAUCACCUUAUCAUACUUCACCAAAGGAUAAGAUACGCUCAAUUUCUAAUCUAAUCAGAUAACAUUGAUUCUUAGAGAUAGGGAAAGUACUAACGAGCAAAUUGGUACAUUCAGUUAAAUGGUAGACAAUCAAUGAGAAUCAAAGUCAACAUAUAAGACUAACUCCAACACGGACCUCUAAAGGGUCCUAUACCCUAAAUUUAGAGGAUGAGGUCAUCCUCUACUCCCUCCGACAGCGUCCUUUAAACGGUCUACUAAAUUUACAGGACAAAUUAAAAAUGUCUCUAAUAUAGGUAUUUGUGUAUAAAAGACAUGAUUUAGAGAAUGUUGUUGAAGAGGAAAGAAAUAUAGAGAAUGUAAUCUUUUAGGAUGUCUCCAACAAGGAAAUGCUUAGGAUGGUGGUACAUGUUGUGUAGUUGCGUUAUAAUUACUUCUUUCAUUGUAAGGAAUAUGGAUGUUUUACAUCAACCCGAAAUGUACUCCACAUGCCAUGGAUAUUCGUUUAUGUGCUGCUAAGGAAAUCCUCCUCCAUGAGGAUUUUUUGUUCCUCCAGAAGGAACUUAAGUUUUCAGGAGUGCACUUAUUCAUGUAUCAAGACUAAAUUUUGUUUAUGUUACAAGUUUUCAGUUGUCCUUUCUUCACAUGCCAGCAUGUUAAAUCUGCUGAUUUUGAUUCAUUAAGAUAUUAGGAUGGAUGAAGUCACACAAGCUGUUGAAAAUCUUAAGAAAGAAUGGGGCCAAGCAGUUUCACAGCUUGACGAGAACAUUACUGCAAUUGAAUCAUGUGGAAAAACAGGGAAAGGGACAGAGGAAGCAAAUUAUCUUCCAAGGUUGAAUGGUUCUGCACAGGAUGCUCUGCAGUUGCUGAAGUCACUGCAGUUCCAGCUUGGUCUUCUAGCACAGCAGCUUCCCACUUUUGAUGAGGUGCAGUCUGGUCAAGCAACCUUGAAGUCAUGGGAUGAACAAUACAAGAAGCUUCGUAUUAGCCUGAGGAAUGCUAACUUAUAAGCAAAAGACAACAUUAGACAAGCUGCUGAAGAGGAGGUACGUGAUUAUGCCUGGACUUUGAUGAUAUUAAUCCAAGUGAUGAGUUGUCUGAGUGCUACAUGCUUCUAGGGCUUAUUUGGUUGGCUCCUGGACGGAGCUGCCUGGCCCAGGAAUCCAUCCCAGGCGUCCGAUUUUGGUCGCAUGGGGCUAGGAUGAUUGCCUGGCCGGCGAGCUGCCUGGCAAGGUAGCAACCAAACAGGCCCUAGAGUGUCACCAAUCACCAAUGCAAUGUGAAAGUUUAAGAAUUCAUGUUAAAUUUUAAGCACAUAUUCUUUAUAUAUGCAGUAUGUCUUCUCAGAGGUUUUUUAUGUACUCAUUUAAGUUCAAAAGCACCAUUGAAACUAAUGCUGCUUUAGAUUUUUGCAAUUUCCCUGGCAAAAUUAGCAAGAAAAUGACCUGUAGGCACCCUACCACCUUUUUAGAGCAUCGCAGGUGCCAUUAUAACUUGGCUAUCGGUUUCUAAUUGACUUUUCUCUAGAGGACACUUCUUCUAGGCGAUGGUUAAGAGUCUACCAUCCGUAGGCGUAAUCCCCAGUAAGUUGAUUUCAAUUAGGUCUCUUUCCCUUAAGACAAUAUAUAUAUAUGGGAUAUUUAAGGAGCUUUUAUAAUUUAAUCAGUUACAUGUGUAUCCCAUCCAUCUGGUUUGAUCAAAUUCAGGUUACCUGAAAUUUAAAAAGCAGAUAAUGUGGGCUGUCAUUUGUGAAUUCUAGAACAUAAAAAACGGAUCAAGCCUCCUAUUACAUGAUAUUGUGUUAAACAUAAAACACUGAUGCUCUUUCUUUCACAACAAGCUGGCCAAGUUUAUGGAGUUCCUCUUUAUGGAUCUCUACUGAUCAAGCCUGGAGUUUACCCAGAGCAAAGACCAUGUAAUGAGGACACCCGCAGAAAAUGGAUUGAGGUCGAGCAGACUAACCUGUCAUUUGUUGUUAUAAUAAUAUAAUGUUUUGUUCAAUAGAACCUCGGUAAAUAUUUCAUGUUUGUUAUCUAAGUUUGCAAAUUUUUAAGCUUGCUUUUGCCUGAUAGUUAGAUGUUUGGCUUCCUUUUGAGUAUUUGAUUGAUAGUGUACUGCUAGAAUAACAGCUAAGGACAUAUGACCAUUCUUACUGUGAGGUUGCUUUUGGCAUUUAAAAUCUUGAACAGCAUUGUUACUUGGGACAGCGAGCAUUAGCCUUUUUCACAUGUUUCAUCUGUGGAAUUCAAAGUUAUUCAGCUUGGAAUAUUCGAUUUAUGGUGCUGAAUGAUGUUUUUUACUUUGUUAUGCUGGUGCUGCAGCAAUGAGCUCAGUUUGUUUACAUUCAUUAGUUUUCUUUCUUUACAUCCAUUAUUGCCUUGCAGGCCCUUGCUCAGCCAAACAAGCGACUAUGUUCAUUGUCUGAGCACGUUCCUCAUGGUUACCAUAGGAAAUCACUUUUUGAAGGUCUAAUUCGAUAUAAUGUUCCGUUGCUAAGAGCAACAUGGUUUAUUAAAGUCACAUACCUAAACCAGCUACAGACCCGACAGACACCUAACAGUAUUUCAGUAGCGGGUUCUGAUAACCAACGCUCUCAGUGGACAAAGGAUGUUGUUGAAUAUUUACAACAUAUGUUGGACGAAUUUUGUUCUAAAGAGGGUGCAUUCGUGCAUCCAUCCUUUAGAGAGCAGUCAUCACCAGGACCUACUGCUGGAACCAAUCAGAAAAAAAUGAAAACUGAAGCAUCACCAGCUGCUGGAGACAUUGAAGAACACUUGGUGCACUUCAAAUGGUGGUAUAUGGUUCGUCUCAUCCAAUGGGAUCUCACAGAAGAAUUGCUUGUUCCCUCAGUACUUAUCGAAUGACUAUCUAACCAACUCCAGGUACUUCUGUCGAGAAUUCAAUCGACGUGAAAGUUUAUGUUUCAGUUCCUAUUCAUCUAAGGAAUACCCACUUUUCUAGGAAUAUGUUUCGGUUUAACUUCAAUCUAUAGAUUCUUUUGUCUAAAAGCAUGCUGCUACAAUGGAUCCUAAACAGGUAAGAAAACACAUGAAGGCAGUCCAUUAGUCGUAGAACAAAAGAAUUUACUGUUUGGUAACUUCUGUUUACUGUGGGUUCUUUUUUUUUGCUUCUAGGACAGCAUCCAUGUGAUUGAUCCUUUUUGAAACUGAAUUUAAUUAGAUUACAGCCUAAAUGCCUAAUAGCAUGUUGCUACAGUGGAUACUAAACAAAUUCUAAGGAAUACUCACUUUUCUAGGAAUAUGUUUCAGUUUACCUUCAAUCUGUAAGAUUAAAGCCUAAAAGCAUGCUGCUACAAUGGAUCCUAAUUAGCUAAGAAAAAA